Molecule: transfer RNA, 107 nt
Filed under: archaeon
Lineage: Archaea
Also listed under: 1 other name
Description: tRNA-Met
Rfam family: tRNA
About the family: Transfer RNA (tRNA) molecules are approximately 80 nucleotides in length. Their secondary structure includes four short double-helical elements and three loops (D, anti-codon, and T loops). Further hydrogen bonds mediate the characteristic L-shaped molecular structure. tRNAs have two regions of fundamental functional importance: the anti-codon, which is responsible for specific mRNA codon recognition, and the 3' end, to which the tRNAs corresponding amino acid is attached (by aminoacyl-tRNA synthetases). tRNAs cope with the degeneracy of the genetic code in two manners: having more than one tRNA (with a specific anti-codon) for a particular amino acid; and 'wobble' base-pairing, i.e. permitting non-standard base-pairing at the 3rd anti-codon position.
Source: RNAcentral
AGCGGGGUAGGGCAGCCAGGAACAGUUUGGUUUUUAAAGCCAAGUUGCUGCAUGUGCCCGUCGGGCUCAUAACCCGGAGGUCGGUGGUUCAAAUCCACCCCCCGCUA